ACCGAGACUAGAGUCACAUCUAGAUGUUACCAGUUAUCGUGGUGUGCUAUAGUCCUCGAAGAGUAACAGCUGACCUUUAUUCACUGGCUGUCCUCCCCAUAGUACAGUCAGCCACCAGGUUAGCAACAGAA
Molecule: small nucleolar RNA, 131 nt
Organism: Varanus komodoensis (Komodo dragon)
Lineage: Eukaryota; Metazoa; Chordata; Lepidosauria; Squamata; Varanidae
Source: Ensembl